GCCAUUUCUUUUAAAGAAGAGACUCAAAUUGCAAAAAUAAUAGACCCCACAUUGUCUGGAUUUGUUCUUGAUCAGAAUCACUUGAAUUGCAACAAAGAAACAAUAUGUUCCCCAAUUUGUUCAAUAAAAGUACUUAAAAUUAUACACAAUGUAUUCUUUCUAACAUUUUUGCAACUCAAUAUAUUCAAGCCUUUGUUCCUAAAUACUGGAAAAAUGUAAGUGAGAG
RNAcentral lists this long non-coding RNA (226 nucleotides) under Oryctolagus cuniculus (rabbit). RNAcentral describes it as "lncRNA (ENSOCUG00000030226.1)". The record is from RNAcentral. Lineage: Eukaryota; Metazoa; Chordata; Mammalia; Lagomorpha; Leporidae.